Molecule: ribosomal RNA, 263 nt
Filed under: uncultured bacterium
Lineage: Bacteria
Description: partial 16S ribosomal RNA
Rfam family: Bacterial small subunit ribosomal RNA
Source: RNAcentral
GUCCACGCUGUAAACGAUGGGAACUAGGUGUGAGAGGUUAGAUCCUCUCGUGCCGCCGCUAACGCAUUAAGUUCCCCGCCUGGGGAUUACGGCCGCAAGGUUAAAACUCAAAGGAAUUGACGGGGGCCCGCACAAGCGGUGGAGCAUGUGGUUCAAUUCGACGCAACGCGAAGAACCUUACCUGGGCUAGACAACGGUGGACCGCCCCAGAGACGGGGCUUUCCCUUCGGGGACUGCCGGUUCAGGUGCUGCAUGGCUGUCGU